CCUACGGGAGGCAGCAGUAGGGAAUAUUGCUCAAUGGGGGAAACCCUGAAGCAGCAAAGCCGCGUGGAGGAUGAAGGUUGUCGGAUUGGAAACUCCUUUUGUUAGAGAAGAUAAUGACGGUAUCUAACGAAUAAGCACCGGAUAACUCCGUGCCAGCAGCCGCGGUAAUACGGAGGGUGCAAGCGUUACUCGGAAUCACUGGGCGUAAAGGGCGCGUAGGCGGGUUAGCAAGUCAGAUGUGAAAUCCUAUGGCUUAACCAUAGAACUGCAUUUGAAACUGUUAUUCUAGAGUAUGGGAGAGGUAGGUGGAAUUCGUGGUGUAGCGGUAAAAUCCGUAGAGAUCAAGAGGAAUACUCAUUGCGAAGGCGACCUGCUAGAACAUCACUGACGCUGAUGCGCGAAAGCGUGGGGAGCAAACAGGAUUAGAUACCCCUGUAGUC
Molecule: ribosomal RNA, 440 nt
Filed under: uncultured bacterium
Lineage: Bacteria
Description: partial 16S ribosomal RNA
Rfam family: Bacterial small subunit ribosomal RNA
Source: RNAcentral